This is a small nuclear RNA of Oreochromis aureus, 172 nucleotides long. Its record names the gene U1. It matches the Rfam family "U1 spliceosomal RNA". From Rfam's summary of the family: U1 is a small nuclear RNA (snRNA) component of the spliceosome (involved in pre-mRNA splicing). Lineage: Eukaryota; Metazoa; Chordata; Actinopteri; Cichliformes; Cichlidae. The record is from Ensembl.
GACCGUAGGUGGUGGGUCGUUUUCCACGCUUCUUUUGUUGUACAGCACCAGGUGAAAAGACUGUAGUAGGUUUCCUUUGUGUGGUUGUGCUGACCCCUGUGAAUUCCCCAAAUGCGGGAAUCUCAACUGCAUAAUUUGUGGUAGUGGGGGACUGCGUUCGCGCUCUCCCUCA